Long non-coding RNA from Boleophthalmus pectinirostris (great blue-spotted mudskipper), 587 nucleotides. RefSeq lists it as uncharacterized. The record is from RefSeq and is a predicted model, not a curated record. The transcript has 3 exons. Lineage: Eukaryota; Metazoa; Chordata; Actinopteri; Gobiiformes; Gobiidae.
UUCAGAAAGGUGUUGUUCACUUUUAACUCACCAAAACCACAGUACGGAAAUUGCCUGUUUUGUUCCAGUGUUGUGACAUUUUGACCAGUUUGAUUCAGUUUUGGCGUCACUGAUACUGAUUCACCUUCAACUCUCAACCAGUCUGAAUGAAAAGCUCUCAGGUCCGGUGUAUUCCGUGGAAUCUUUCACUUUGACCAGAACGAUGAAGAACAGAUAAUGCCACAUGUUGUGCUCCUCUUUAAUGUGCUCCUCAAAGGUCACCGUUUUAUUGUCAAACUUGUCUCGCUCCAAACCUGGAAGAAGAAGAAGAAGAAGAAGAAAGCAAAAAUAUAAAGGAGACAGAGGCACAGGGACCCAGGAGGCGAUGGAGGGCCACUUAAGCCGGUGGAGGUCGGCGUGGUUAAUCCGUGCGUGUCCUGUUGCCGCGGUAACCAUGGCGACGGCCGCUCCACCUGUGGCUAGGCCCUGUUCACGGCGUGAGUCAGAGAGCUGUGACAUAACAGUGUUUACCGCCCCGAGAGGAGAGGAGCAUGACCCCCAUAGAACAUGUGCGAGGAGGGAGAAGGACGGAGGGAUGGAGGGAUAGA